RNAcentral lists this ribosomal RNA (612 nucleotides) under Pseudomonas knackmussii. Its description in RNAcentral is "bacterial SSU rRNA". It matches the Rfam family "Bacterial small subunit ribosomal RNA", at positions 50 to 658 of the family's 1533-position model. The record is from RNAcentral. Lineage: Bacteria; Pseudomonadati; Pseudomonadota; Gammaproteobacteria; Pseudomonadales; Pseudomonadaceae.
AACACAUGCAAGUCGAGCGGUAGAGAGAACUUGCUUCUCUUGAGAGCGGCGGACGGGUGAGUAAUGCCUAGGAAUCUGCCUAGUGGUGGGGGAUAACGUUCGGAAACGGACGCUAAUACCGCAUACGUCCUACGGGAGAAAGCGGGGGACCUUCGGGCCUCGCGCCAUUAGAUGAGCCUAGGUCGGAUUAGCUAGUUGGUGAGGUAAUGGCUCACCAAGGCGACGAUCCGUAACUGGUCUGAGAGGAUGAUCAGUCACACUGGAACUGAGACACGGUCCAGACUCCUACGGGAGGCAGCAGUGGGGAAUAUUGGACAAUGGGCGAAAGCCUGAUCCAGCCAUGCCGCGUGUGUGAAGAAGGUCUUCGGAUUGUAAAGCACUUUAAGUUGGGAGGAAGGGUAGUAACUUAAUACGUUGCUACUUUGACGUUACCGACAGAAUAAGCACCGGCUAACUUCGUGCCAGCAGCCGCGGUAAUACGAAGGGUGCAAGCGUUAAUCGGAAUUACUGGGCGUAAAGCGCGCGUAGGUGGUUCAGUAAGUUGGAAGUGAAAUCCCCGGGCUCAACCUGGGAACUGCUUUCAAAACUGCUGAGCUAGAGUACGGUAGAGGG